This 465-nucleotide ribosomal RNA is filed under the name uncultured bacterium. RNAcentral describes it as "partial 16S ribosomal RNA". It matches the Rfam family "Bacterial small subunit ribosomal RNA", at positions 338 to 795 of the family's 1533-position model. The record is from RNAcentral.
CCUACGGGUGGCAGCAGUGGGGAAUCUUGCGCAAUGGGCGAAAGCCUGACGCAGCGACGCCGCGUGAGGGAUGAAGGUCUUCGGAUCGUAAACCUCUGUCAGCAGGGAAGAACGGUCACUGUGCUAAUCAGCAGUGAAUUGACGGUACCUGCACAGGACGCACCGGCUAACUCCGUGCCAGCAGCCGCGGUAAUACGGAGGGUGCGAGCGUUAAUCGGAAUUACUGGGCGUAAAGCGCUCGUAGGCGGUAUGUCAAGUCAAGGGUGAAAUCCCCGCGCUCAACGUGGGAACUGCCUUUGAAACUGGCAGACUGGAGUGUGUGAGAGGAUAGUGGAAUUCCAGGUGUAGGAGUGAAAUCCGUAGAUAUCUGGAGGAACAUCAGUGGCGAAGGCGAGUAUCUGGCACAUAACUGACGCUGAGGAGCGAAAGCGUGGGUAGCAAACAGGAUUAGAUACCCGUGUAGUC